This 407-nucleotide long non-coding RNA is filed under the name Ananas comosus (pineapple). RNAcentral describes it as "long non-coding RNA (ACOM_LNC036770)". The record is from RNAcentral. Lineage: Eukaryota; Viridiplantae; Streptophyta; Magnoliopsida; Poales; Bromeliaceae.
CAUGCAGUUAGAAAUACAAUAAUUACAAUUACAUGCAUCUUGUUUGACUCGAUGUAGCAAAAAGAAUUGCAAAUAUAAAUAAUUUAUUUGAUUGCGUGAUAAUUAAGAAAUGUAUUUUCAAAAUUUUAUCACUUUAUAUAUGUGAUAAAAAGAUUUCCUCCAAUAUAAGAAAAAGAAAAUUAUAUUUAAAAAGUGAUUAGGGAGGUAAACUUAUCUGUUGUUUGAAGUUACUCUCUACAACUGCUACAACUAAAAUUGCAACUAAUUUGGACGCAAUUCCAACUAUUGCAAUUAAGCCUCCUCAUACAAUUCCAACUGCAGUAGUUUGAUUCAAAUGCAUCAGGCUAAAUAUCGGAUUUGAAUUUACAUAUAAUUACAAUUCCAAUGCAGUUGCAACUAUAUACAUU